This 858-nucleotide small RNA is filed under the name Arabidopsis thaliana (thale cress). Its description in RNAcentral is "ATSL118080". The record is from RNAcentral. Lineage: Eukaryota; Viridiplantae; Streptophyta; Magnoliopsida; Brassicales; Brassicaceae.
AAUUUUUUAACAUUUAAGAAUAAUUUUUUAUAUAAAAAAGUUUUGCAAAUUGUAUCAUUCUCUAAUACAUUUAUAUCUAUAGUUUAAUUUUAUAUAUAGUAACAUUAUACAUACCACAUAACAUUUUUGGUUUUAUAUAAUUUUUUCUAAAUUAGGAUGAUUUGAUAUGUUUAAUAUUAGUGGUCUUAAAAAAUAAUAAAUUAAAGAUUUAACCCGUAUUGAAACGGUGGAUUAAUUAUAUUUUAUUUUUUUAUUAAUGUUGAUUCAAAAACCCGUCCCUCCAAAUCCGUCUUGCCAAAAAGCUAUUUAUUUUGUUAAUAUUAAUUUUAUUAAUGAUAUGACUCUGAAUUAGAAUCUAAACAUUUUAGCUAAUAACAUAGGAGUGCACCAUAUUUAAUUUAUAGGAGAAUGUACCAUAUGACCCGAAUGCACUUUUAUCCAAAUCCACCAAAAAAGUCUUGCAAAAAUACUAUAGAGAUAAGAAACGAUAGUCGGUUUUGAUAGGUAUAAGAUUAGCAAAUAUAUUAGUUAGCUUAAAUUAGUUAAAGAAUACAAAUUGAAAAGGUAUAUUACACUUUAUUCGAAUAUAGUAUCAAAACUUAUAUAACACAGAGAUUUGAUAAUUUUUUAAUUGAUGAAUACUUUUUUUGUGCUAAUUUUUAUGUGAUUAAGAUUUAAUUGAUUUUGUAUAUAAAAUAUUAAAUUGACUUAUUUGUUUAUAAUUUGGUAACAGAUAGAUAUUUGAAUAUUCAAUAUAUUUUGCUUCAGUUUAAGAAAUCUUUGAUGACCCGUCUUUAGAUCCAAUAAGCCCUAUAAUCUAGAUAUUAACCUGCAGUAUAUAUUUUAGUUAAACUAAAU